GUUUUUAUUAUUCCUAUAAGAAACAUACGAGAGAAAUUAUUAAUUUAAAUAUUAUUGAAUUUUUUGCUUUUAAUAUUUUCUUAUAUAAAAAAUAUAUCAUUAAAAUAAAUAUAAUUAAAAUAAAAAUUUAUUAAAUAAAUUUUUUGAUCCUUUAUAAUCACAUUAAUUAAAUAUAAUUGAUGAAUUAUUUACUAACAAUAAUAAAUACAAAUAACAGAUGGCGCUCCAUGUAUGCAAUAGAACGUACAUUAUCGAUAGACAAACGAUUUCUGUCGUCUUAACUAUGAAGUAGUUUCUGUUCGAGAUAUCGAAGUUCAAAAUUCUUCCCACUUCACUAUGGUUCGUAUAACUGUCGUCUUCGUGCUACUUCGACGCGCGUAAAAAACGCUCAGUUUAAUAUGCGGCAUAUAUUAAAUGCUUUGAAAAUCAAGCAUAUAACAGAGAAAAUUCCGGGAAAUGAAAUUGGAAGUGUGGUGAAUAAGUGUUGAGAGGAGAGUAGAAAGUAAAAAGAGAAAACAUGGUUGCAAAAACGGUCUUUUAAAUACGAGAGCGAAAGAGGAAGAGAAAUAGACGAGACUUCAGACUUCAGUUGGAUGAAAUUUCAUCGCAGGAAUUCAAUUAAAAAUAAUAUAAAGGAGGAUUAGAUUUCGGGAUAAAAACAUAGUUGUUCACUAAUAGAUAGAUAAAUAAAUACGUAAUUAGAUGAAAAGAUUUAUUAUCCUUGUUUAAUGUCUUUAUUUAGUGUAAUAAAAUGAAAUAAUAAUUCAUUUCGUAAAUAUUAUUCUGAUUCUUGAAUACAUUCUGAUUCUUAUUAAUAAUUUUAUUGAAUAUUUUAAAUAUCCUCCGCAAUAAAUUAAUUUAUGGAAUAAAGAAUAAAAAAACAUGAAUAUUACGUAAAUAUUGUUAAAGCUCUCAUAUCAUAUGCGUUGAAGAAAUUAUGAAGUUUAAAAUUACAGUGUAUUUAAUUAAAUAAAAUUUGAAGUAUUAACGAGAUAUUAAUUCCAUGUAAAAUUCAAAUAACUAUAUAUUAAUCUAAUCAACCGGAUUGCCACUGUGUUUUCAGUUUCUCAAGUUUAGGUUAAGAAUAGUGAAGCGGAUUCAUAAAAAGAAAUGGGAUCGAAUUAAGAAUGGAAAUAUCUUAAUACUUCAGAGGAUAAAAAAGAAAGAACAACAACCGCCAUCAGCAGAAAAUUGGAGAUAGACCAAAAAGUUUUUACGACUUCUUAUUGUUUCAAUGACAAUUAAAAGAAGGCUAAAACGGUUGAGAGAGGAAUUUUCACCAGGAAAAAAGAUAGUAUUUGAAAGACAAGGGGCGAUGGUAAACUUUCUCGCCAUGUACCGGAGGAAAAUUCGUUCAAAAUGGUUUGAAUUCUUGUCUCGGAAGACGAACGAUCGACGCGAUUUCGGAAUACUGAUGCGUCACGCGGAAUAUCGAAGGGGAUCACUUGUUUCUCUAUUCCUAACCUCUUCGGCUCCCUUUUACUUUCGUCUUUCUUCAAUAGGGUAGAAAAACGAAUGUGGUUUGAAAAACAUUGUAUAACUCUCGUAAAAAAUAUCGCAGAAAUAAUAAUAGCAAGUGAAGUUGUUAUGCGUAAUAUAUUUUUAUUAUUUUUAAUGUAAAUUUUUAAGAAUAUAAUAUUAUAUACAUAUAUAUAUAUAUAUAUAUAUAUAUAUAUAUAUAUCUUGUUUAAUUUGGUUAUAUUUGAUUAUGAUGCAAUAUUUAAGAAAAAAUUGAUUAGAUAUAUAAUAAAAAUUAUUUUCAUUAAUUUAAAUAAUUUAAAUAAAAAAUUUUAAUUUAAUGUUAAUAUAAAAUUUCAAAAGAUGGAAAAUAUUUUUAUGUGGUAUUGGUUUAAUUAAUGAUUAUAUUUUAAUGUUAAAAAAGAUUUUAAUAAUUUUCAUUUAAAAUACAAUGAAUUAUACAAUGUUAAUAUUACACAAUUUACAUUUAAUCAUAAUUAUACGCAUGUUCUUCAUUUACAAUAUUCAUUUAUUAUUAACUUUUAUGCAUAUACAAGUCACUGCUAUUCAAGUAACUGAAUUUUUUAUAAUUAAAAGAAAAAAAGCACACAAUAGCAUUUUUAAAAUACCUUAGUUUAUAUAGAAUUAAUAAAUAAAUAAUUCCUUGGAGAUUAUAUUCAUAAUUCUUUUUGAAUUAUAAAAGUAUGCAUAAUAAAUUCCUGUGAAUGAUAUAUCUUCAUAUCUUCAUAUCUUCAUAUCUUCUAAAUUGAUUCUAUGUUCAUAAUGUUAGAGAGUGAAGUUAGAGAGAUUAUUUUUUAUUCAGAUUUUUCUAUGAUAAUUCGAUUUUUCUCAUAAAUAUUUAUAGUGACUUAUUUUAAUUUUAGUUAUUUUUGUUAUAUUUUAACUUAUUUGUUGUCCAUUAAACUUAUCUCAUUAUCAUUUGCUGAUAAGAAAUUAUUUUUUUUAUUGAAUUUAUUAAAAUUUGAGAACAGAAAAUGAGAAAUUUGGUCGGAAUUAUGGCAAAAAAAUAAAAAAUAAUGAGCAGCGGUUUAAAAGAAGAUCGAUAAACAACGGGAAAUGAAACAUCCUUUUUUUUCCCUCCAGUUUAACGUUUAGCCGCGGAAAUGCGCUCUUGAAAGUUUAACUCUCCUCGUUUACCCGUUUAUCACGGCAACAAACACUCUCCGGAUUCUUGGCAGCCAUUCGAUUUUUAGCGGAUAAAUGGUUCCUUUGGGAAUACCCCUUAAGAUGUAUCUAAAUAGAAAAGUUGAAACGUUGAAACAUUAUUUUGUGAUUAUUUAAACGUUUGAUUUUUUUCAUGAAAUGUCAAUUUGAAUGAUAAUAUAAAAUAAUAAUUAAUGAAUUAAGUGUUUAAUGAUAAAUAAUUUUUUUUUUCAAGUAAUAAAUUUUUAUGGAAAUAUAAUUGUACAAAGGAAACGAUAAAAUAAAUUUGAGAAAUGUAUUAAAUUGAUAAUAUAAAUUAACCAAAAGAUGGACAGAUAGACAGAUGGAGAAACCGUACGAUGUAUGUUAUUGGAUUACUAGAUUAGAGUCACGUGUCAAUUGUACAUAAUUUUCUCUGAAUGGUAUUUUUCUAGGGGAAAUACAAUUACAAAUCAUUUUCCAUUAUCUCAUAUUUCAUUCGAUCAUAGUAAAUUCUAUAACGCAAUAAUCAUAGAAAUUUCAUUGUAUCUUUUAUUUAUUUAUAAUAUAAUUUUCAUUAUUUAAUUAUUAUUAUUUUAUUAAAUUCAGAUAUUAAAAAAAUCGCAAGAAAAGAAGAAUAUAAUUGGAAGCAGAUGAAACUUUCUAGAAAUAAGAGGUGAAAUUUCUACAAAAGGAAGAGACAGAGAGGGAGAGAAACAUUUGGAGUGGUUCCGCGGUGGUGAACGGCGACGACGACCGCAAAUUCUAUUUGGCCCGAUGGAAAACGCACACCGUAUGCCGCGAGGGGUUGCAACUCACUGCUUUCAUCCUGUAACCUUCCUUAUUUCCUUGGUUGCGCGCUAGUCGCUGGAUUCUAAUGGAUUCCCGACCCGUAAAUCCUGCCGCUAGGAAACCACCUCUCCCUCCUGCAUCGAUUACCAUCGGAAAUAUUUUUGGAAAUAACAGUUUGAAGAUAAACAGAUCAAUGAAAAUGUCCAUGUUUUUUUUGAGAGAAUUAUAAUUGCAAAUCUCGUAUGGCUUGAAUUUUAUUUUGUGGAUAUUCAGAAAAAUAAUAAAAAUCUUCAAUAUGAUUAUAUUUCAUUAUCGAAAUAAAAUCAAUUUUCAAGUGUCAUAUGUCAUCUAAAAACAAGAUAUUUCUUGAGGAAAUUCCUGAAAAUUCUAUCUCAUUUGUGACUAAUUCACAAUAAAGCACUCCGCAAAAUUUCGUCCAUUUCUCGAAAAUCCUAUCCACGUUUCGACGAGUUCCGGUCGGAAUAGUCCCCGAAAUUUCAUCUUGCCUCGACCAAGUUCCAUGUGUACAUCCCUACGUACAGAGAUUGUCACAACAAUCGGAAGAAAGAGGCCGGUAGCAGGUGGUUCGCCCUCCGUUUUAUGAGCGGUCGCCAAAGGGCAGUAUACCGGAUGUCGUUUACAUGCGAAUCGCUCAUCGGGGAGAAACUCUAGCUUGGAUAAAGUCUGGAUUUAAAUGGGCCCGAAAUUUAUGCUAACUCACCGAUUCGACGUCCUUCGUUGAACGUCGAUGACGAGAAACGAAUAGAGGUUUGGUGGAGCUCCGAUUCCCCUGUCCCAUUUCUUUUUAUUUUUCUUCGUUUCUUUGUUCGGUUUCAGAAUCAUUUAGGGAGAGUUUUUGUACAUAUAAUAUUGAUGUGUAAUUCAGUUCAUUUUUGAUAAGAAAAUUAUAGAGAUUGAUUUUAUUAAUCCAUGUUGAAUAAGUUUGAUUUUAAUGGUAUGGAUCAAUUUUGAUCUGUUAAAUGAUUAAUGAUUUAAUUUAUUAAAUGGUUGUAAAAUCAUUCAGGAAAAGGAGUUAAAUGUAUUGUUAAAUAAUAUUUGUUACAUAUCAAUUGAAAGCUUAUAGCUGGAUGAAUUAUUUUAUUAAUUUUUUAUUAUAAAGAAAUAAAUUUACAUGUAAUGA
This is a long non-coding RNA of Apis cerana (Asiatic honeybee), 4534 nucleotides long. RefSeq lists it as uncharacterized. The record is from RefSeq and is a predicted model, not a curated record. NCBI's taxonomy places the organism in Eukaryota, Metazoa, Arthropoda, Insecta, Hymenoptera, Apidae.